GACUUUUGCAAUGAUGGAUUCCGUUGCAACACCGGAGAAUGCCUUCCGUUCUACUCGACGUGCGACGUGGAUAAAGACUGUCCCGGGGGAGAGGACGAGCUGGGAUGCGAGGGCUGCCUCAACGGCUUCCUGUGCAACACGGGGGAGUGUCUGCCUUCUGCCACUCGUUGCGACGAGACUCAACAGUGUCCAGGCGGAGAGGAUGAAGAAGGAUGUGAUUGCAAGGACGGCUUCCUAUGCAACACGGGAAAGUGUCUUCCGGUCUCUUCCUUUUGCAAUGGAGAGUCGGACUGCGCAGGAGGAGAGGACGAGGAGGGUUGUGGUCUGUAGUCUGACUUUGCUUUCAAAUGACCUGUUUAUUCAUUCCUUUUUAAUCAUUUUAUUUCCCUUUUUUUUCUAGAUUCUAGUUUUACUUGUUAAUUCCUUUUAGAUGCUAGUGUGUUAUUUGUUCUUAACAUUUUGCUCAUAAACUUACCAUUUCUAUUAUUAUUAUCAUUAUUGUUAUAAUUAUUAUUAGUAUUAUUACAAUUAUUAUUAUCAUUGUUGCAAUUAUUACUAAUUUUCCUAAUUAUCAGUAA
RNAcentral lists this long non-coding RNA (578 nucleotides) under Penaeus japonicus. RNAcentral's name for it is "uncharacterized LOC122243529". The record is from RNAcentral. Lineage: Eukaryota; Metazoa; Arthropoda; Malacostraca; Decapoda; Penaeidae.